Molecule: long non-coding RNA, 22367 nt
Filed under: Lactuca sativa (garden lettuce)
Lineage: Eukaryota; Viridiplantae; Streptophyta; Magnoliopsida; Asterales; Asteraceae
Description: long non-coding RNA (LSAT_LNC002704)
Source: RNAcentral
ACAUUUUUCCUAAAGUAACUAAGAUUGGGAAUUUAAUAAAACAUUUAGUUACUUUAUAAUAUUCAUCAUACUUUGAAUGAGAAUUAAUAAGUCCUUGUCUUACCCGUUCGGCUAACGACCCUCCACCGAUCAAGCAAGCGGUGGGUGAGAGUGGACACCCAUUAAGUCACCAUUUUAUAGGCAACAACCUUAUACCCACCUUAUAGACCGGCUUCGUGAAUGAGGCGUACUAGCGGUAAGACGACUUUGUUCUUAUACAUAUAUAUAUAAUUAUUAAAUCAUAAUAAUAUAAGUAUAAGGGUUGAAUUUUAACUUUUAAAAUUCUAGGGGUUGGAACUAAAGUUUUAACUUAACUUUACUUGUUCCAAAACUUGAGGGCAAGUUUUGUAAACUUUCAAAACUUUUCAUUUCUUGUAACUUAUGAGUUUAAUAGAGUAAUAAAAUGAGGACUUUUCAUUUUUCUAACUCUUGUGUUCUUUUAAUGGUUUUUUAAUCCAAGAGACUUUUGGUUUUCCAUAACUUGAGGACAAGUUAUGGACUCCAUUAAAACACAUUAUGAUCAAGAAUUAAACUACCACAUAGGUUACAAAUAAUUCCUAUGAUCAUCUAAACUUCAUAAGAACAAGAACAUGAAUAUGAACACUUUCAAGAAUCAAAAUCACAUUAAACUUUGUAAUUUUGAUAACUAGUUGUUGUAAAUGAAUUAGCAAAAACAUUACACCAGCUAAAACAAGUUUUCAAGUACCAAAACAGUUUAGGGUAAUGUUUCCAAUCCAUUUCCAGCAACUAAAGUCGAAAAUCUGCACUCUGUCGACCCUACUCGCCGAGUUGCAUGAACCUACUCGCCGAGUAGGUUGAAGAUACACAUGAACUCGCCAAGUCCCCCCCCAUGGACUCGCCGAGUCCAUUCGUCAGACAGCAAGUUUUAGACUUUUUUCAACUUUAAAUUACAAGUAUCACACAAACAGUCCUAGGCUCUGAUACCACUAAUGGGUUUUGAGCAUUCUAACACUUCCUAAGUGUACAUGCAACCCUAAUAAACCAUGGAUCUAUGUUUGUCUAAGAUACAUGCAAAUAAUUAUUUUUCCAAGGCUUAUAUCCUAACUAGCAUGGCAUGGGGAACUUGAAUCAAAUAAAGCUAGUAGAAACACUUACCUUGUAGUUGUAGUUGAUUCCUUGGAGUUUUAGAGCCUAGCACCAAUAAUGUGGAUGCCUCAAAUGAAAGUCACAAAUCACCACAAACUUGGAACUUUGAGAGAAUAGUCACACUUCUCUUGAAAUCGGCCCUCACCUCAACAUGUGUCAACUAGUGUUCACUAGCUUGAUUUCAAGAGCCAAAGCCUCCUUUAUAUAGUGUGGUGGAUUAGGGUUACAUCCAUGUAAACCCUAAUACCCAUGUCUCUUCAUUUCCAUGAGAUCCAUGGGUUAAAGCUCCAUGGAGUAUCCAUGGACUUCUCCAUCCAAGCCUAGCCCAUUCCAAAUAAGCAUAAGCCCACACUAUAUAAAUAUAGAAGCCCAUAUUUAAUUAGUAAUAUCUUUGAUCACUAAAUUAAUCCUAGAUUAAUUAUAGAUCACUACUAAUUAAAUAAUAUGAUCUUAUAUUAAUAUAUUAGAACUUAUAAUAUAUUAAUAAAUCAUAACUUGUACUAUUCUCAAAUAUUAUCCAUAAAUUGUUCGGGUGAAGUGCAACCCAAAUGGACCAUGCCGGGUCGGGUCAAGUACAUACCAAAUAUAGUUAUGGGCUUAGACACUAUAUCCAACAGUCUCCCACUUGGAUAAGUCUAGUAACUAUAUUUGCAAGUAUAACUUCAGGAACCGAUCAGCAAUCGUAGCUCUUUAAACUCUGUUGAACUAGAACGCGCCAUUUAGAUAAGUGAUCAUAUAAUCCUCUGUUCUAGAUAUCAGCCGGACAAAUACAUGGANAUACGUUCAUAUAUCCCUAGUAAGCUAUUAUAGGUAUAGUUUGGGCUUAUAUAUGAUUUGGUGAUAAAUAUAGAUUUCGACCUAGCGAUUCGUUGCAGAAGUCACCCUUAGUUCCAAAUGUAGAAUAUGGACUACCAAUCAUAUUGUUACUUACUUACAGCGGGUCUCGUGAGAAGACUACUUACUUACUAAGAUUUGACUAACCAUUCCGGCACCCAACUGUUAGCAACAGAGGUAAUGAACAUCUACGGAUGCCUACGGUUAUUACUUAUAUUAGGAGUACCUCUACGGGACUAACGAAUCCUACACCCUGCUGUUGGAUACAAAGGAUAAUGAACAUCUACGGAUGCCUAUGGUUAAUACUUAUAUUAGGAGUACCUUUACGGGACUAACCAUUCCUACACCCUGUUGUUGGAUACGGAGGAUUAGGAACAUCUAUGGAUGCCUACGGUUAAUACUUAUAUUAGGGUACCUUUACGAGACUAACCAUUCCUACACCCUGCUGUUGGAUACAAAGGAUAAUGAACAUCUACGGAUGCCUACGGUUAAUACUUAUAUUAGGGUACGUUUACGGGACGAAACAUUCCUACAACCUGAUGUUAGCUACAGAGGAUAAUGAUCAUCUACGAACGUUCAAGGUUAAUACUUUUUUGGCAGUCACGAUGUCGAGUUGAUCCUAAUACAAAUGGAUAACACUUACAUGGCUAUAUUUUUCCUAUUACUUUUAUUUUGUGAUACAUUCACAUAAACGAUGAGGUAGACUAUGUACUGUUGGUAGUAGUCAAAAAGGGGAAAAACCAUCUUUGUUACUUUCAAAACAUUCGGGUCUUAGUAGAAGGCUACUCUUUAUACUAAUAGAAAUCAUAGGGAUUUGCUAGGGUAUUCAAAUGCUUUCAAACUAUUUCCAAACAGUUCAUACUUAUACAAACUUUGUCCAAAUGUUCACACGUCUUUACUUUCCAGUUUUACAAAUCAAGGACACAUUAAUACUUAUGAAUUCACCAACUUUUUGGCUGAUACUCGCUUUCAAAAUAACUUGUAUUCUCAGGUCACAAAUAGACAGGUACGACGACCAGGUUUGUGAAGACGGAGCAGUCCAGACUCGUCUUAUAUUCUGAUUAUUCGUUUUAUUGUUGUAUAUUAUGAAAGAUCACACUUGUAAUUAAAAUUAUAAGAUUAAUGCAAUGGAUGAUGUUGUUUCUUGUUUACUACUUUACAUUGUUGUGAUACAUUACAUGACGUCCUCCGCCCCAGAACGUUUCCGCCGUUCUCGGUUUUGGGGUGUGAUAUUAAGUAAUAUACAACUUAUUAGGGCUAGAAUCUCUUACAAGUUGAAGAUCUUGAAGAAUUGUUGGAUGAUACUUGAGAGAGUUUUGAGAUUUGGAUCUUGAUUUUGCGAAAAAUGGUAAAUAAUGACUAAGUGUCAUAUAUUUACCCCCAAUUUAGGGUUUAUGGCCGUAAACACCUUUGUUUAGGUCGUAAAAUCCAAACUCUUGGAGCUUUGGGACUUUAUUGUUGCACAAUAUACCCUAGAGCAUCCUCUCUCCUGGUAUCUCCCGAUGUACUAACUUAAAAAGACUCAAACUUAUUCCCAAAAAGCUUGAAAGUUUGCAGAAACUGUUCUGACCUCUAUUGAAUUGAAAUGUUGUACAUAAUAGAAAUUUCGGGUUGUCACAAACUAAGAUCAUUAACACGGAUUUUGUGUAACGAAAAACCUCAAUGAUGUAUUCUGAGAGUCUCAAGGGUUACUUUUAUGGAAUUAAAGAUAAUGGAGAAGAAUGUGUGAGAUGGGUAAAGAGCCGAAAGUACCUCUGGUAUAUAUAAGUGACCAAGCAGAAAACACUUAUCUCAAUAUGAGAAGAGUAAGGUAGCUAAUGACAUAAGUGAAUUUAGCAGCUUGAUUGGGAAGAGACGAUUGGUAUGAAUCGAAUCAGUAAGGCUUCACUACAGAGUCAUUGAGGCUUUGGACAACAUGCAAGAACAUGCUUCUAGAGACACUUAGCUAGUAGACAGAGUAAACGUAUAUACCUUCCCCAUGAUUCAUUGUUGAGACUUGCAGCCAUUGUGUUAGAAUGCACUUGAAAUAAAUAAGAGAAAUAAAAAUAGAAAAGAAAAAUAUUUUUUAAAUUUUAAAUUUUCUGAAAAAGAAAUAAAAACAGAAAGGAAAAUAUUUUUGUAAUUUUGAAAUUGUAAAUUUUCUGAAAAAGAAAUAAAAAUAGAAAAGAAAUUAGACAAAAAGUAUACAUCAAGUUUCAACCAAAAAUUCACCUUUGAUGGAUGAAGCGAAAUAUAUAGAGCGUUCGGCAUAAUUCGAUGCCCAAAAAAAUCAGAACCGAAAUGGACCGAUCCUUCGCCCUAUUUUGCCUGUUAAAAAUUGAAGAGGUGAAAGCGAUGGAUGUACUUAAGGAAGCCAAGAUGGUUUCGGUACAGAUUUAGAUUCCAUCAUUCCCGGCCUUGGAGUAUUCUAUUGAAGGUUGUUUCUGGCGAGGCUUUCGUGAAUAUGUCAGCCAAUUGAUCAACGGAUCGAAUGAAGCGAACUUCAACAUUAUCAUCUGCUACGUGAUCCUUGAUAAAGUGAUAUCGCAGUGCAAUGUGUUUCGUCUUGUAAUGCUGCAUUGGGUUGUGACAUAUAUGGAUCGUGCUUUCUGAGUCACAUUAAAGAGGAGUCUUCUUCAUAUUUAGUUCUUAAUCUCUUAGUUGGCUUUGUAUCUUGACGACCUAUGAAGUGCUAGAUGUUGCGGCUAUAUAUUCAGCUUUGGCAGUUGAUAGGGAUAGACACGUUUGUUUCUUGGACUGCUAAUUGAUUAGUUUACCAUCAAGAAACUGACAACCUCCAGUUGUGCUCUUUCGGUCUAGACCACAUCUUCCAAGAUCGACAUUGGAGAACGCUUGAAUAAAGAAGCCUAAUUUAGCCGGAUAUCAAAUUCAGAGAGACGAGGUUCGCUUCAAGUAUCAGAGGAUGUUCUUAACAGCCACCAUGUGAGGUUCACGUGGAUUGGCUUGGAACCUAGCACAAUAGCAAACGGAAAAGAUGAUAUUUGGUCUACUAGCUUUAAGAUACAUUAGUGACCCUAUCAUUUUCCGAUAGAGAGUCAUAUCAGCAGCCAGAUUUCCAGAGAUGGAGUUAGCUUUGUUCUGAAUGGCAUUGGAAUCUUAACUUUUGAUUCUUCCAUCAUGCCAAAAUUUUCCAACAAGGUCUUUGUGUAAGCUUCCUGAUUGAUAAAAAUAACUUUUGGUCCGUGUCUUCUGUUCAGGCCAAGAAAAAAGUUAAUUGGACCCAUUGAGCUCAUCUCAAAUUUAUUCUCCAUCAUUUUUCAGAAAUCAACUGUUAAGCUGGGAUUCGUGGAACCGAAGACGAUAUCAUCGAUGUAAAUUUGGACUAUCAUAAGGUGAUGACCUUCUUUUUUGCGAAAGAAGGUUGGGUCAACCGAACCUUGUUUGAAUUUAGACAUUUUGAGAAAGCAAGGUUUCAUACCAGGUUCUAGGAGCUUGCUUUAGAAUGUAAACCGCCUUGUCCAGAAUGUAGCAAUGAUCAGGAUAUUUCUCAUUCACGAAGCCCGAUGGUUGUUCAACAUAUACGACUUCUUCUAUCUCCCCAUUUAGGAAAGCACACUUGACAUCCAUUUGAAAAACCUCAAAAUUCUUAUGUGAAGUGUACGCUAGAAAGAUCCGUAUUGAUUCUAACAUUUGUACCGGAGCAAAGGUUUCUUCAUAAUCGAUCCCUUCUUCCUGGCAAUAUCCUUUCACCACAAGUCUUGCUUUGUUCCUUACGAUGUUACCUUCUUUAUCCAUCUUGUUACGAAACACCCAUUUUAAACCUACCACAGAUGCAUUAGGUGGUGUGGGAAUCAAUCUCCAAACCUUGUUUCUUUGAACUCAUUAAGUUAUCUUGUAUGGCCUGAACCCAGUUAGAUUGAUCAAGGGUAGUGGUAAUUGUUUUCGGUUAUAUCUUGGAGACGAACGAAUUAAACAUGCAAUAUUCUACUUGAGAGAAUAAAGCAGUUCUCUUCGCUUUAACUUGAGAGCGUGUAAGGACUCCAUCAGAUCAUUCACCAUCACUUGUGAUUUCGGAUGAUCUCUUGUCCAUUUAGUAAGUGGAGGGUAAUUUGGAUCGUACGUAGGAUCCAGUUCAUCAUUCACUUCUUCAUCAAACUCUAAUUGAUUGUCAUCGGCAUUCGCAUUCGUAUUAUGAUUCUCCGCCUCGAAAGAUGAUAUGGUCUUAGUAAUAGGGUCAGAAGGCUCUCCUUCGAAUGGAUUCUUGUUGUUCAUAGUUAGAGAUGGGUUCUCCCCCUGGAAAGAUGAAGCGGAUUCAUCUGCUGAAGACGAACCCUCCCCCUGCAAUGGAGUGCUUUCAUUUGGAGGUUCGCUUGAGCUUGAAGGUUCGCUUUCCAUUUCUUUUGCAGCAUCAUCGAUUAUCUUCUUUAGAUUAUCAAUUUUGUUAUCAGCUACCAUCGCUUCAGAGUUGAUGGCUUUUUCUGGUUCAUUAAAGAGCGUUAUGUACUCUUGAAACAGAUUGGAUACCGGUAUGGCGACUUGAACUGUCUUAGGAAAGAUUUCCUCCAUUGGAUCUUCCCUUGAUUGAAUUUUCUUCAUGUAAGUGUCAUCAAGCGUGACAUAAUAGGUUUCUCCUAUCUUUUUCGAUCUUGUAUUGAGAACCCUAUAUGCCUUGGAGGUUAGAGAGUACCCCAAGAAAAUCCCUUCAUCAGAAUUCACAUCAAACUUAUUUGGGUUCUCUUUGGAAUUGAAGAUGAAAUAUCUAGAACUAAAUAAUUGAAAAAACUUGACAUUAGGUUUGCGAUUCUUAAGAAUUUCAUAUGGAGUAAUAGAAAAUUGCUUACUGAGAAAGGAUCGGUUCUGAGUAUAGCAAGCGGCGACAAUUGCAUCGGCCUAGAAAUACAUAGGAAGAAAAGCGAAGCUAAAUAUGGUUAGAGCAGCCUCAAACCACAAAUGAUUUUGCCUUUCCACUACCCCAUUAUGUUGUGGACAAUAAGGAGCAACGAAGUUGUGUGUGACUCCAUUUCUGGCUAGAAAUUCUUCGAAAUCUUGGUUCUUGAAUUCCUACCUGUUGUCGCUUCUUAUAUUUCUUACCACCUUUCUUAGUUGAAGCUCUACUUGUUCUAUAAAGAUCUUGAGUUUAGGAGUCGCCUCUGAUUUCUGGUUAAGAAAAUAUACCCAACUGAAUCGUGAAAAAUCAACGAUAAUAACAGGUAUGUACUUACUACCACCGUCACUUUCAAUAGCCGACGGCUCACAAAGAUCGAUGUGUAGCAGUUUAAGAGGUUCAAUAAUUUUUGUGUUCACAAGAGUUGGAUGACUCUUCCUAUUUUGCUUCCCCAUUUCACAUGUAGCACAUAGAUGAUCGUUAUCAAACUUCAUGAGGGGAAGACCUCGCAGAUGAUCACCAAAAACGAGCUUCUUGAUAUCUUUGAAGUUAAGGUGCGAGAGUCUUCUGUGCCAUAACUAGCUAUUGUUAGAAGGAGCCUUUGUUAACAAGUAGACAACAGGUUUUCCUCGUAUCGGAUUUAGAUUUAAUGGAUACAUCUCUCUUUUUCGUUGUGACUUUAGUAGAACCGUUUUCGUUUUCUUCUCUAUGAUCUCUGAUCCUUCAUCAUCAAACGAACCCUUCAGGCCAGUACCCACAACCAAUUGUGAAACACUGAUCAGGUUGUGUUGUAAUCCUUCCACAUAGGCAACUUUACGGAUUGAGAAAUCCCCAUUUUUCAUCAUGCGAUAUCCUUUAAUUGUGGCAUAAGAGUUGUUGCCAUACUUGAUACAUCCACCAUCUUUGAGAGCCCGAAACUCCCUUAGUUCUUCCUUUCUCCCUGUCAUGUGAUGUGAGAAGCCACUAUGAAUAUACCAUUCAUCGUCAAACUGCUCGUCGUGAAUAACCCACAAAAAUUAAGCAGAUUUAGGAACCAAAAGUUGUUUGGGUCCUGGUGAGCCUUUUACAGAGCGUGGAAAAGCAAUAAAAUGAUCAAGCACGAACGUUCGUUUUAUCAAAGUGUUUUCGUUUUUAUUUUUUAUGGUGAAAACUUUGAUUUUGUUAUUCGAUUUGUUUGAAUCACUUUGUUUUUCUGUAUUUUGAUUCUUAACAAACUCUUUCUUAUCCUUCCGAGAGUUAGUGGUUGUUUUUUCAGUCUGAAGUUCAAAUUCUGAGAUGAGCUUCCCCUUCCCUUUAACAUCCUUGAUAGGAGUUUUCUUUGGUUGGGAUUUAAGAUUAUUCGAUUUCUCAGAAAAUCUUUUAGCAACAGAUUGCCUGCGAGCAAAACUACCCUUUUGUUUAUGUGAAGCACAAGAAUUACAGUGUGAACACUGUUCGGGUUUCGCUUGAGACUGGGACUUCGUCUUUUGGUUGGAAGCCUUUUCUUUUCGUACAUAGUUAGAGUUCUAGGAUUGCCAGAACUGCUUCCGUUUGUUGAUAUUUUUCUCAUAUCUUUUGUUUUGUUGACAUUUCUGCUUAGCCAGUUGCUUGGAAGAUUUGUGAACAUUCAAAUUCGGUUUUGUCUUCCUGGUAUGAGGUUUGGUUCUCAUGGAAUUAGGUUCGCUUGAACCUUUUGAAGAUUCAUGUUGAACAUCCUUGGUACCACUUGUCUUGGCUUUAUCAAACUUUGAAGGUUUAUUUAGUGGUUCAACAACGUAUCUAUUUUUUAUUCUCCAUGAUGGUCAUUCGGACAAGCCUUUUCUUUCAUCGACAUUGUCGAUUGGGGCUGACCAAAAAUUAUUCUCACACCCAUCAACAUUAUCUUCAUCUACGAGAGUUGUUAAUUCAAUUGUAUGUUCCUUAGUUACUCCAGCAGUAGUGUACACCUGAUUUGGUACCGUUUGUACCUUUUGGUAUACAAUAGCCUUUUGCUUCAAGACUUUAACCUUUUCUUUAGACAAGCGAGCGAAGUCAAUAUAAUUAUCGGAUAUAAGGACUUUUGGUUCAGGUUCGGUAUUAAUAAAUUCAGAACAAUCAACCUCAUCCUCUAUAGAUAUUUCACUUAUGUCAAUUUCCUGAUCAAAUUCAGAUGUAUUUUCAGCGUUGAUCUUGUUAUAUGAACUCAACUUAGAACUCAAUGAGUCAAAUUUCUGCACAGUUUCGGUCUUUAUUUUCAAUUUAUCAUUUUCAUCCAGUAAGUUUUUGAGCAUGUCUUUAUGGUUCUUGGACAUAAUAAAUGACUCAAUUUUUAUCAGUCCAAUUCUAUGGGCUUCAAACGUUUCUUCAGUCGAGACAAUUGAUUCACAAUUACAACAAUCAACAUCUAUUUCGUCUUCCUUUAAUUAAAGGAUAGGCAAAAUCAUUUUGUGAAUUUUGUUACCUAUUUCACAAUCUAAAUGCAACCGAGUAAUGUUGGAAUAAAGAUGUUUAGAAAUUAAGCAAAAAAUAUUCCUUUGUUUCAAAAACUUUAAAUUGUCACAUUCCAAAUAAACCAAUUCGUCUCUAACCCUAACCAACUCUAAUUCCUUAUUCUCUAUGCAUAUCCUUUGCUCUUCACUCUUGGAAGGCACCCUGCUGAUUUGAUCAAUUAGGUUAGAAUUCGUGAGGCGUGUUUGUUUUAGGCUACCACUUAAAUUCGAAAAGGUGAAUUUUCAAUCAUUUAAAUCUCUUUCAUAGAUAGAAAUAGGUAUUUUGAGAGAUUCAAGGAUGUAAUUUACCUUCUUGAUCAACUGAUCACAUUCGUUGAUCUGUUCUCCAUCUGGUUUUGCAGUAAAGCUUUUAUCUUCCCUUUUGAUGAGCUGAAAUCUCAGAUCGAUUAGAUCUUCAACAGGUUAAUCAGUAAAGAAAACAAAUAAACACUAUAAACACAAGAUCGAAUCAAAGUAAUGCUUAAUGAUUUAGAAGUAGUCACGCCUCAACAGAGCUCAACAAAGAACUUCCACUGUAUAGGCGAGCUAGGGUUUGUAGUUCAAUUAUUAUGAAUAAUAACGAAAGUUAUGAUAACUAAGGAUGCAUGCAUGCAUCUUAAAUACUAAACCCUAAUGAAAUAGUCAUGGUUGGACAGGCCCAAACCGGAUAACAAAACUGGGCUAAGGACCGAGCCCAAGACGCAACACUUCUAGACCCAACAAUCUCCUCCUUUGCCUCAAUAUGGGGCGAGACUUCACUUUGGUAGAGGUUGAGCAGUUCACUUCACAACCUUGAACAGCCAUGGAAUAAUGGCAAGAAGAGUCUGUUUGAAAGCCAUAUACCACCGGAGCAUUUAUUAGAAUAGUUUCUUUUGAGCCUCACUAUUUUGAUCGUACCCAUGAACAAGCUCCAGAAUGUGCUCCAAGCAGGCAGUAGAGAAUAGAUGUUUGUCAGCCAAAGCAAAUAGGAACCUAUGACCUUCGGCUAUAAGAAACAAGAUAGUGUGAGACUGUGGAUCAAUCUCUCUCUUUACCAUUAUCAUAGUGUCCCUUGCCUUCCCAAUUAGCUUGAUAGUGGGUCUCUUACGAAUAGCAGCAACAACCUCCUGGUCCAUCUUUGCCGCUUCAUGAAUGUAACACACUAGCAUAUGCUUGAUGUGAUCAAUGAUUGGAUCAUAAUUAUUUUCAUUGGAGAGUGGAAUGUUAAUCAGGAGAAUCCAAUCAUGUGGAUUCAGAUUGGGCAAGUCAGCAAGUGAAAUUGUAUGGGCCGAACCUUAAGAUCCUCGAGUCACCUUGAACUUGACAUUAAUGAACUUGACAACAGCAGGAGGCUUUAGCACCUUGAUAGUUGUACUCUUUUGGUUACUCCAGGUUAGAAACUGAGGCUGAAAGAAUUUAUGAUAAUAUUCCAGCAAGUCCUGAUCAACCUUCGGGUCUGGAGAGGGAAUUGCAACUGUAGGCUCAAAACAGUGAAAGAUGAAAGCCUUGCGAGUGAUUGGCAUAUCAAAUUGAGAACCUUUAGAAUUCUUGACAUUGAAAUAGAGAACAUGCUCUAGCCAGUGUGAACUUGAAGCUUCAAUAUCCUCCUUUUGAAUUCUUUCUAGCAUCCAUAGAGGAAACUUCAACUUUCUCUAAUUGAGUAGAUUCGCCUCUCUCACCUCAUUCUCCUUGUUGAAUGCUUCCGUAACAUUUUUCUUAAUCUCCUGAGCAGACGGCUUGGAUUUGAGAAUAUUCCUUAUAGGAACCGUAUCUUCAAUAUCAUCAACAUUAUCCUCAUCAACUACUUUACCCUUAUCUUGGACACCCGAACCCGAAGCAUCUUUCCCUUUCGGUUUGGCAACCACUUUCGGCUGUUGAGGUUUCAGUGGUUGGGAUGAGUUCUUUACUUGUUCUCCCCCUUGUUGCGGAGGGACAACGGACUCCGGGACACCCUCUAUUCUGCUAAAAAUGUCAAGAGCAGGUCGUAGCUUCUCAGCUAAAUGGCGUCUGACUGUAAUGGUAAGAACCGGAUCGUGGGAUUCAAGAAGAUGGAGAAGAAUGUAGUGAACAUCUCCAACAGAGCCCUCUACCACAGACCGCUCCGAACGCAAAUCAUCAUGUUCCUUGUUCGCUUGAUUUAGCUUCAAAGUCUGGGUUUUAGGUGAGUAGUCUUCAGAGCAAGUUCAUCCAUUGCUCUGCUUUCCAAAGCUAGAUCUGCCUAAAGCUGAUUUAAACGUUCAUUGACCGAAGCUUGAUGUUUGGCUUGACUAGAAGAGAGGUUCUGGCAAAGCACCUCAAAAAGUUCCUUUUCCUUUUGAAGCGAUUUUGUAAGUGUCUGAACAGAGGCAUUAACCUUGUUGGCAUUUUGAGUUGCAGCACCCUGUAAAGAUUCAAGAAAUUUUUUUGCGUUAGAAAUUAGUUUAUCAACUUUUUUGGUCGCCUCAGUGCAAACAUUUUCGUUAAAGCAUCAAUGGCUAAAGUGGCUUUGGAGAUUGAAGCAUCAUGUUCCUUAACCAAUAUGGCCAUCAUGCUUGUAACAGCAGACUCAGAAAGAGAACCCUAAGUAGAGGAGGAAGCCAUAAUUUUGUCCAGCUUCUCAUUCAGCUCCUUAAGAUGGCUUUUGGUGACAGGGGCAUCUUCAUCAUCAUCACUUUGCACCCUGUAAGGAUUGUAGUAGAAUGUAUCAAAAUACAUAUUUUCCUACCAAGGAUAGUAUUGGCUUCAGUGGAUUGGGUAGGAGACAGAGGUUUGGUAGUAGCAUGGGUUUUGGGUGCUGAAGUACGUACCCCCAUAUCAGAUACGUUGGUUUGCACUCCAGUGGUAGUUGUGGUUGUAGCUUCUGAAAAGAUGGGAGUGGAAACAGGAAUGGUGAAUGAGGGUUGAGAUGUAAUGAUAUGGAAAGGGGUGGAAGGGUAGUAGGAAUGAAAAUAGGUGGAGGAGAAGGUGCUUGGAAACGAACGAAUACCUCAGAUGUAGGCGAGCGAGGAGGUGUACCACAUCAAACCACUUCUUCAUCAUCCGAGCUUUCACUCUCAUAUUCACUAGAAAUUUGGGGUUGAUGACGAGAAGGUCCAUACUCAAAGUCUGAGUCGCUGUAAGAUUGAAGAAUAAGCUUUCAAGCAGGUUUCUUGGUCUUCUUCUGCUUGGGCUGUGAAGAAGCAGCCUUCUCUGCCUUUCGCUUGUUUGGGGAUUGAACUUUUGACACUUUAUCUCCUUUUUCUCCCUUUUUGGCUUCUUGCUUCUUGCCCUAUUUUGUAGGUUUAUCUACUUCUUCAAUAGACUUUAACAUUUCUGGGGUGAGAUCCCUUGGACCAGAAGAGGGAAGUUUCUUGUACUCCUAAAUGAGCUUGCAAGUAGGAGACACACAGGCAUACAUUGACUCUGGAAUGGAGCCAACGAAAUGAAAUUUGGAUGGAUGAGUGACAAUGAUGUUUGUAGUAUGGAAUGUGGCAAUAGAGGAGAGCAUAGAAUCUGCCAUAAUGGGAAUGUGAAAACUCUCCAUUAUCGAUUGAGUAACAAUGGUCCAAAACCUGACAUGAGGUUGAUGACAAACUUUGGACAAGUUGAAGCCAACGUACUGAGCCAUAGUCAAGGUUGAUUCCGUGGUACAACCCAUAAACAAUGUUAUGAAAGACUUGCUAGCGCCAUCUGAUCUGACGCGCCUUUUAGAAAGCCCUUUGAAGAGGAGAUUGAACAACCCAUUCCAAUGAGGAGGAAGGCAUCAUUUCUUGAACCUUGUCACAGUAGUUAGGGUUUCAAUGUACCCCAUGUUGUAAAACAUUGUGAAAAGCUGACCAAUUGAGAUUGAAUCAGAAUUCACCAUCGAAGCAUCAUAUGUGAGCCCUAUCAAUGAGCAAAAUAUGUUCUUGGAUACGGAGGCCUUCUGGUUGAGGACAUUAAAAUAAAUCUUGUAUGCAACCUUGUUGUAAGCAGCCGUGGAAUAAAGUUGAGAGAGACAAGACAUUGGGACAACUUCCACCAUCGAUAAAGCUUUGAUAAGUGACGAAUACCUGGGACAUUCAACCACGUUAUAGAUGUACGUAUCGUAGAGGAAUGGUGAGAGGCCCAUCAGCAAGUUCUGGUUUGCCUUGAUGGUGAAAAGAGUGGAACGUGCAGAAGUUUCUUGAAUAGAUGAAGACUUUGCCAUAGUUGAAUCUUGAGGAAGAAGAAGAUGAACAGUGACAAUAGAAUCGUCGGAGAUUACCUUUUUGCUUGAGAGAGAAGAAGUGUGGUAAAGAACAAGAUCACACUACCAAAAACCCUUAUAUACAAUUCUGUGGAGACACAAAAAUCAAGGGUAAUGAUUCCUUUAAUUUGGGAAACGACGCCUAAAAAGGUGUGAUUUGAGAACUGGCAACCCCGAUAAAGCAGCUAAUGACGCAUGCUUAGGUAACUAUUUGAAUUCACGCGCCUUUUCAAUCUUAUCUCCUUUUCAAAUUACAAUCGAUUAAGCACCCUACUGACUCAUCUCUUCAAUCUUUUAAUAAAAUCGUUAUCUCCAUAAAUAACCAAAGGCUUAUUAUAGUUUCAACCCUUCGUUUGAAAAUCAUCGCAUAACUUCGUUUGGAACCGAAGCUAUAUAUUUAUGAAUUGAUUCUUAAUCCAACCAGAUUUUUGGAAAAUCCAAGAUUUUGGUGCAAGAAAGUGUCAAAGAUAAAGAAAUAAAAACAAACUAUUUGUGGGAUUUUGUGAAGUCAUAAAAGACAUAAAGUAGUUGAUCCUGGGCACGAAUCGCUUCCUUUAAAAUCUGAAUAGACUUCAAAGUGCUUGUAUGGGUUCCUGUUAAAUGACGAUCAAGUACUUGUUAAGAAACAUUGAAAGGCAUCUUUUUCUAAAUAAGGCUAUUAAGGGUGGCUUUCGCUUCAAUCCAGGUUUCAGUACUUGACAUAAGACAAAAAGUGGAAUGAAGUACUUGUGAGACCAAUGUGGCCUUUUAAACAAGUAGGUGUGAAUCAUAUUCAGUGACAUGUUGAAAUUAAAUAACUAGAAAUCUUAUUUAAAAAUUAAAAUUGGACCCUUCGGGAAGAAAAGUCUUGGUGAUAGGCAGUUUCAUAAGGAUCUCUCACAAGAAUAGGAGAUUUCAAGGUACAUCCACAAUAGUGGUUUCGUUAAUUCAAGCUGAAAGCUAGAACAUUUAUUUGUUCACUGUCAAUACAUUAUAGGUAUUGAAUUUUUGGUUUCACUUAGCACGUAGUGACACAAAAGUAAGAUCAUAAACACAGAAGUUGUGUAACCAUAAACCUCAGUGGUAGUGNGUUGUGUAACCAUAAACCUCAAUGGUAGUGUUGAGAGUCUCAAGGGUUACAAUUAUGAAAUGAAUGAUUAAUGGAGAAUAAGAUUAACGGUGAUAAAGAACGAAUGUACCUCUGCUAUAAAAUAGGACCAAGCAGGAAAUGUCUUGACUCAUGUUAGAGUAGAGUUAGGUAGCUCAUGAUGAGUGUGCGUUUGUCAGCCUAAUUGGGAAGACAUGAUUAGUGUAUAUCAAGUCAUUAAGGCUUCACUCAACAAAUUUAGAGGCUUGGGUCUACAUACAACAUCAUGCUUCUAGGGACACUUAGCUAUUAUAGAGAUAAAGAAUUAUACUUUUCCCAGCUUCGUCAUUAAGAAAGUUCCUUAUACAUUGGUUAGAUAAAGACUAAAUAAUUUAAAAUAACGAAAAAUAUUUUUGAAUUAUGGUUUGUGUUUUCUGAAAAGAAAUAAAAACAUAAAUGAAAAAUAUUUUUGGAUUUUAAAAGAUUUUCUGAAAAAGAAAUAAAAACAGAAAUAAAAAUAAAAAUUUUGGAUUAUAUGAAAAUAAAAGGAAAAGCAUAAAAUAAAUUAUAAGAAAAGAGUGUAUACAUACUAUACAACUGAAACCGUCACUUGAAAAUUGAGAAGCGAACUGAGUCCAAUAAGACCGAACCCGGAAUGGACCGAGCGUUCGCUCUAUUUCGCUUCCAACUUUUAUUGAGGCGAAAGUGACUUCGGUACAGAUUCAUCUUCCAUCAUUCCUAAGCCUUGUAGGAUUUUAUUAAAACUGGUUUCAUGCAAGGCUUUAGUAAACAUGUCAGCCAAUUGAUCAGUGGUCCUAACAAAAUGAAUUUCCACAUUACCAACCUCCACAUGAUCUUUGAUGAAGUGAUACCUUAGUGCUAUGUGUUUCGUCUUUGAGUAUUGUACCGGGUUAUGACAAAUCCUAAUUUCGCUCCCUGAGUCACAAUAUAGUGGGAUUUUCUUCAUGUUUAGCCCAUAGUCUCGAAGUUGACUUAGUAUCCAAAUGACAUGAGAUGUGUACGAUCCUGCAGCUAUGUAUUCAGCUUUGGCAGUUCAGAGUAAGACACAUGUUUGUUUCUUUGACUGCCAGCUAACCAGUUUGCCAUCCAGAAAUUGGCAUCCUCCUGUGGUACUCUUUCGGUCUAGUCCACAUCCUCCAAGAUCAGCAUCUAAGAAUGCUUGGACAAAGAACCCCGACUUGGUUGGUUAACAUAGGAUGAAUAAAGAGGUUCUCUUUAGGUAUCGAAAGAUAUUCUUCAUAGCUAGUAGGUAAGGUUCACGUGGAUUAGCUUGAAACAUAGCACAAUAGCAAACAGAUAACAUUAUGUCUGUUCGACUUUCUGUUAGAUACAUUAGCGACCCUAUCANAAUGGACCGAGCGUUCGCUCUAUUUCGCUUCCAACUUUUAUUGAGGCGAAAGUGACUUCGGUACAAAUUCAUCUUCCAUCAUUCCUAAGCCUUGUAGGAUUUUAUUAAAACUGGUUUCAUGCAAGGCUUUAGUAAACAUGUCAGCCAAUUGAUCAGUGGUCCUAACAAAAUGAAUUUCCACAUUACCAACCUCCACGUGAUCUUUGAUGAAGUGAUACCUUAGUGCUAUGUGUUUUGUCUUUGAGUGUUGUACUGGGUUAUGACAAAUCCUAAUUGCGCUCCCUGAGUCACAAUAUAGUGGGAUUUUCUUCAUGUUUAGCCCAUAGUCUCGAAGUUGACUUAGUAUUCAAAUGACAUGAGAUGUGUAUGAUCUUGCAGCUAUGUAUUCAGCUUUGGCAGUUCAGAGUAAGACACAUGUUUGUUUCUUUGACUUCCAGCUAACUAGUUUGCCAUCCAGAAAUUGGCAUCCUCCUGUGGUACUCUUUCGGUCUAGUCCACAUCCUCCAAGAUCAGCAUCUAAGAAUGCUUGGACAAAGAACCCCGACUUGGUUGGUUAACAUAGGAUGAAUAAAGAGGUUCUCUUUAGGUAUCGAAAGAUAUUCUUCAUAGCUAGUAGGUAAGGUUCACGUGGAUUAGCUUGAAACAUAGCACAAUAGCAAACAGAUAACAUUAUGUCUGUUCGACUUUCUGUUAGAUACAUUAGCGACCCUAUCAUUUGACGGUAGAGGGUCAUGUCAGGAGUUGGUUUGUCCAGAGAAGGUGUUAACUUUGUGCCAAACGCCAUAGGAACCUUCACUUUUGAAUCUCCCAACAUUCCAAACUUGGCAACCAAGGUCUUCGUGUAACCCUCUUGAUUAAUAGAAAUGCCUUCAGGUCCCUGUCUAAUAUUCAAGCCAAGGAAAAAGUUAAUCGGACCCAUUGAACUCAUUUCAAAUUUAGUCUCCAUUAACUUCCUAAAUUCAGCAGUUAAGCUAGGCUUUGUGGAGCCGAAGAUGAUAUCAUCGACGUAAAUUUGAAGUAUAAUAAGAUGGUCACCAUCUUUCUUUCGAAAGAAGGUUGGGUCAACUGAACCUUAUUUAAACUUGGACAUUUUAAGAAAUCUAGUUAGAGUUUCAUACCAUACCCUCGGUGCUUGCUUGAGACCAUAGACUGUCUUGUCCAGAAUGUAGCAGUGACCUAGAUACUUCUCGUUCACGAAACCCGGUGGUUUCUCUACGUACACCGUCUCUUCUAGUUCUCCAUUUAAGAAGGCACGCUUCACAUCCAUUUGGUAUACUUCAAAGUUCUUGUGUGCAACAUAUGCAAGAAAAAUACGAACUGAUUCCAGCCUUGCUACGGGAGCGAAGGUCUUUUCGUAAUCAAUGCCUUCUUCUUGACAAUAACCUUUCACAACUAAUCUUGCUUUGUUGUGAAUUACAUUUCCUUCCUUGUCUAUAUUGUUCCUGAAAACCCACUUAAGUCCAACCACAGAAGCAUCCUUUGGUGUUGGAAUCAGUCUCUACACUUUGUUUCACUCGAACUCAUUGAGUUCGUCGUGCAUGGCCUGUACCCGACAGAAUGAUUGAGUGCAGUGUUCAUCGUCUUCGAUUCAACCUUGGAGACGGACGAAUUAAACAUGCAAAAUUCCACUUUAGAGAAUAGUGCAAUUUGUUUCACUUUCAGUUGAGAACGUGUGAGAACUUUUUUUGAUGGUUUACCAAUAAUUUGUGUUUGAGGAUGAUCUUUGGCCCAUUUGGUGAGUGGUGGGUAAUUAGGAUCAUACGAGGGAUCCAGUUGGCAUUACUCUGAAUGGGUAACUCACCUUUCUUGGAGUUAUGCAUGUUGAAUCUUUUCAGCACCUUAUCCAAGUAGGUACUCUGACUAAGUCCAAUUAGUCUUUUACUCCUGUCUCUCAAAAUCCUUAUCCCUAGGAUAUAGGCAGCUUCACCAAGGUCCUUCAUAGCGAAACACUUCCCAAGCCAGGACUUUACUUCCUGCAGGGUUGGGAUGUCAUUUCCUAUGAGUAGUAUGUCAUCCACAUACAGUACCAAAAAGCUGACUAUGCUCCCACUAGCCUUGAUAUAGACACAAGAUUCAUCUUCACUCCUUGAAAAGCCAAAUUCCUUGACCUUCUCAUCAAAGCAAAGAUUCCAUCUGCGAGGUGCCUGUUUCAAUCCAUAAAUGGAUUUCUCGAGUUUACACACUCUAUUGGGGUACUCUGUACUGACAAAACCCUCUGGCUGAACCAUGUAAACAUCCUCAGCCAACUUUCCAUUAAGGAAAGCAGUUUUGACAUCCAUUUGCCAUAUUUCAUAGUCAUGAAAUGCAGCAAUGGCUAACAGAACCCUAAUAGACUUUAUCUUGGCCACUGGUGAAAAGGUUUCAUCAUAAUCAACUCCCAGAGUUUGAGAAUAACCUUUUGCAACCAGUCGUGCCUUAUAAGUGUGUACAUUACCAUCCAUGUCGGUCUUCUUCUUGAAGAUCCAUUUGCACCCCACUGUCUUACGACCUGGUACAUUUUCAACCAAGUUCCAAACUUGAUUGUCAUACAUGGAUUGUAUCUCGCUAUCCAUUGCCUCUUUCCACUUGGCAGCCUCAGGGCCUGCCAUGGCUUCCGUGUAGCUGUUAGGUUCAUCCAGACCUACUAGUGUCUCAUCACUAAUAAGUGUCUCACCUUCCGCAGUAAUAUGGAAACCAUAGUAAUGCUCAGGUGCAUUCCUAACUCUCGUGGAACGCCUCAGAGGUACAGGCUCAUCAACUGGCUCAACAGGAGUUUCCUCCUCAAGUUGAGGGCUAGUGUUUGAAGUUCCUUCACCGCUUGACUCUUGAAUUUCUUCAAGAUCAAUUUGCCUCCCACUGUCCCCUUGGCUUAUAAAUUCUCUCUCUCGAAAAACUCCUCUUCUUGCUACAAAGACCACAUUAUCACUAGGUCUGUAGAAGAGGUAACCAAAGGAUUGUUGUGGGUAGCCGAUGAAAAUACACCUCUCGCUUCGAGGUUCGAGCUUAUCAUGAGUCUCGCGUCUCACGAAAGCCUCACAACCCCAAAUCUUGAUGUGGUCUAGCUUAGGUACUUUGCCAGUCCACAUCUCGUGAGGAGUUUUGGCAACUUUCUUUGUAGGGACAAGAUUAAGAAUAUGGGCGGCAGUCUCUAAGGCAUACCCCCAGAAUGAGAUUGGUAGCGUAGCUCGACUCAUCAUGGAACGAACCAUAUCCAACAAGGUUCGAUUACGCCUCUCAGCCACACCAUUCAACUGUGGUGUCCUGGGAGGUGUCAAUUGUGAGACAAUCCCACAUUCCCUAAGAUAGUCGAGGAACUCUGAACUAAGAUACUCACCUCCUCGAUCGGAUCGAAGCAUCUUAAUGUUCCUGCCCAAUUGAUUCUCGACUUCCUGUUUAAAUUCCUUAAACCUCUCGAAAGUCUCUGACUUAUGCUUGAUUAAGUAGACAUAUCCAUAUCUACUGUAAUCAUCAGUAAAAGUCAAAUAAUAACGAUUAGCAUCCCUUGUGGCAUGUUUGAAUGGUCCACACACAUCCGUGUGUAUAAGGUCCAACAAACCUUCACCCCUCUCACACGAGCCUGUGAAGGGUGACUUUGUCAUUUUUCCAAGUAAGCAUGAUUCGCAACUAUCAUCUGACUUUAGGUCAAACGACUCCAAGACUCCAUCCUUUUGGAGUUGGCCUAUGCGUUUCUUGCUUAUAUGUCCAAGACGACAAUGCCAUAAUGAUGCUUUAUCCAAGUUAUUAUUAUUAGUAGAAUCAAUACACAAAACAUUAUUUCCUAAGUUAUCUACAACAGAUACAGCUUCAUACACACCAUCACAAGGUAAUGCUUUAAAAUAAAAAACAUUAUUAUAGAAAACAUCUAUAGAACCAACUUCAUUAUUAAAUGAAAAGGUAAACCCUUGUUUGUACAAAGCAUGAAAGGAAAUAAUAUUUCUUGCCAUUCCUGGCGAAUAACAACACUUAUUCAAAUCUAAACUAAACCCACUACUUAGCGAUAAAGUAUAAACUCCAAUCUUGGUAACAGGUAUAGCUUUCCUAUUCCCCAUGAUCAAGUUUAUCCUUCCUUGCUCCACAUCCUCACUUCUUCUUAGUCCCUGCAAGUCACAACAAAUGUGAAUACCACAACCGGUAUCAAGGACCCAAGAAUUAGAAUGGGGUGAGUUAUUAGAAAUGAUAGUGUAAAUACCUGCAUGGUUGGGUUUAACUUUCCCAUCCUUCACAUCUUGCUGGUAUUUUGGGCAGUUCCGCUUCCAAUGAGCUUUUUCAUGGCAAUAGAAGCAUUCAGCCUCUUUUGGGUCAGAAGAAGGAGUAACGAAACCUUUCUUGGUUCCACUUGAAGAAGAGCCAUCAAGGGUCCGAGCCUUGGUACCCUUAGAAGAGCUCUUUCUCUUCCUCCCUCGACUUUUCCCGAUUGCCAAAACCGGAGUAGAGUUUUGAGUAGGAGUGAUAGCAACCGACUUCCCCUUAAGACCUGUUUCUGCGGUCUUGAGAAGUCCCUGAAGUUUGCUGAGGGUGACUUCUUCCUUGUUCAUGUGAUAUGUCAUGCGGAAUUGAUCAUAGCACGAUGGUAAGGAAUGCAAAAUAAUAUCUAUUGCAAGAUCCUCCGGGAAGUUCACAUUAAGCUUCAGCAAACGAUCCACAUACCUUUGCAUUUUCUGCAUGUGGCUCGUGACGGAUUCCCCGUCCUUCAUCAUGGUUGUUAUCAUGGAGCAGAUGAUUUCAUACCUCUCUUGUCUUGCACUUUGAUGGUAUCUUUCCAUCAAAUCUUGGUGCAUGUCAUAAGGGUAGAAAUCCUCAUAAGACUUUUGGAGUUCCGCUGUCAUCGUGGCCAUCAUGAUGCAAGCCACUUUCGUAGCAUCCCUUUCAUGUGCCCGAAAUUCAGCGAUCUCCUGAGGAGUUGCAGUGGACUCAUCAAUCUCCUUAAGCUCCUUGUCAAGGACAUAUUCUUUGUCCUCGUAGCGGGUAAUCAUCCUGAUGUUUCUGAUCCACUCAUUGAAGUUGGAUCCAUCAAAGGUGACUUUCCCACACAAGUUCAUAAGGGUAAAGGAGCCAUUAGGAUUAGAGCCAGAAGCAUUGUUGAAAGACAUCUGAAGGAAAGAGGACAAGAUUAGUUUAGAUAUAAGAGAGUCCUUAAUAAAACACCCAAAUGUAAUAUUAAGGCUAGGAUCCAAUCACAAUAUAAUAUAACUUAGAAGAGGUAUGCCGUAAUCUAAGCUAUAUCAUAUUUGAAAGGUAGGUGAAUGACGAUUCACCAAUUUCCACCACGAAAACCGCAAUAUUUUAGUAUUAGGUUUUUGAAUGGUUCUUAGAAAUUCCUAGAUUCUUUGAGAUUCAAUGAACUUUUCAAAGGCAUGUUUCAAUCUCGAGUGUGCCCUCCAAGUUUUGUGACUGGGAUACCGAGGAUCACAAAACGAGGUGUGAAGUAACCAUGCAAAUCACUUGGUACCCUUAAAGUUUAUCACUCAAUCGAUGUGCCGGUUAACCACACACGCUCCAUCGAUACUAUAAUAAACCCUAAGUCACCCUUUACCUACCUUGUUAAGUCCAAGUUAGUGUGCCGGUUAACCACACACGCUCCACCAACGACUUAAUCAAAGUGUAAAGUGUAAUUUCAUGGAAUAGCACCUUAUUCACAUUUUUCCUAAAGUAACUAAGAUUGGGAAUUUAAUAAAACAUUUAGUUACUUUAUAAUAUUCAUCAUACUUUGAAUGAGAAUUAAUAAGUCCUUGUCUUACCCGUUCGGCUAACGACCCUCCACCGAUCAAGCAAGCGGUGGGUGAGAGUGGACACCCAUUAAGUCACCAUUUUAUAGGCAACAACCUUAUACCCACCUUAUAGACCGGCUUCGUGAAUGAGGCGUACUAGCGGUAAGACGACUUUGUUCUUAUACAUAUAUAUAUAAUUAUUAAAUCAUAAUAAUAUAAGUAUAAGGGUUGAAUUUUAACUUUUAAAAUUCUAGGGGUUGGAACUAAAGUUUUAACUUAACUUUACUUGUUCCAAAACUUGAGGGCAAGUUUUGUAAACUUUCAAAACUUUUCAUUUCUUGUAACUUAUGAGUUUAAUAGAGUAAUAAAAUGAGGACUUUUCAUUUUUCCUAACUCUUGUGUUCUUUUAAUGGUUUUUAAUCCAAGAGACUUUUGGUUUUCCAUAACUUGAGGACAAGUUAUGGACUCCAUUAAAACACAUUAUGAUCAUGAAUUAAUCUACCACAUAGGUUACAAAUAAUUCCUAUGAUCAUCUAAACAUCAUAAGAACAAGAAUAUGAAUAUGAACACUUUCAAGAAUCAAAAUCACAUUUAAUCUUUGUAAUUUUGAUAACUAGUUGUUGUAAAUGAGUUAGAAAAGACAUUACACCUUCUAAAAUAAGUUUUCAAGUACCAAAACAUUUUAGGGUAAUGAUUCUAAUCCAUUUCCAGCAACUCAAGUCGAAAUUCUGCACUCUGUCGACCCUACUCGCCGAGUGCAUAAACCUACUCGCCGAGUAGGUUGAAGAUACACAUGAACUCGACGAGUCCUCCCCAUGGACUCGCCGA